Molecule: ribosomal RNA, 234 nt
Filed under: uncultured bacterium
Lineage: Bacteria
Description: partial 16S ribosomal RNA
Rfam family: Bacterial small subunit ribosomal RNA
Source: RNAcentral
CGACCGGAUGCGGAUCUCGAAAGCCUGUCCCAGUUCGGACUGGAGUCUGCAACCCGACUCCACGAAGUUGGAUUCGCUAGUAAUCGCGCAUCAGCCAUGGCGCGGUGAAUACGUUCCCGGGCCUUGUACACACCGCCCGUCAAGCCAUGGGAGCCGGGGGUGCCUGAAGUUCGUGACCGCAAGGAGCGACCUAGGGCAAAACUGGUGACUGGGGCUAAGUCGUAACAAGGUAAC